Molecule: ribosomal RNA, 518 nt
Filed under: Fusarium chlamydosporum
Lineage: Eukaryota; Fungi; Ascomycota; Sordariomycetes; Hypocreales; Nectriaceae
Description: eukaryotic LSU rRNA
Rfam family: 5.8S ribosomal RNA (bases 151-304)
Source: RNAcentral
UAGCAGCGUGGUACCGUCCCAACCCCUGUGACAUACCUAUACGUUGCCUCGGCGGAUCAGCCCGCGCCCCGUAAAACGGGACGGCCCGCCCGAGGACCCCUAAACUCUGUUUUUAGUGGAACUUCUGAGUAAAACAAACAAAUAAAUCAAAACUUUCAACAACGGAUCUCUUGGUUCUGGCAUCGAUGAAGAACGCAGCAAAAUGCGAUAAGUAAUGUGAAUUGCAGAAUUCAGUGAAUCAUCGAAUCUUUGAACGCACAUUGCGCCCGCCAGUAUUCUGGCGGGCAUGCCUGUUCGAGCGUCAUUUCAACCCUCAAGCUCAGCUUGGUGUUGGGACUCGCGGUAACCCGCGUUCCCCAAAUCGAUUGGCGGUCACGUCGAGCUUCCAUAGCGUAGUAAUCAUACACCUCGUUACUGGUAAUCGUCGCGGCCACGCCGUAAAACCCCAACUUCUGAAUGUUGACCUCGGAUCAGGUAGGAAUACCCGCUGAACUUAAGCAUAUCAAUAAGCGGAGGAA